This 886-nucleotide ribosomal RNA is filed under the name Dendrographa decolorans. Its description in RNAcentral is "LSU rRNA". It matches the Rfam family "Eukaryotic large subunit ribosomal RNA", at positions 40 to 943 of the family's 3401-position model. The record is from RNAcentral. Lineage: Eukaryota; Fungi; Ascomycota; Arthoniomycetes; Arthoniales; Roccellaceae.
AUAUCAAUAAGCGGAGGAAAAGAAACCAACAGGGAUUGCCCUAGUAACGGCGAGUGAAGCGGCAACAGCUCAAAUUUGAAAUCUGGCCCCCCCGGGGUCCGAGUUGUAAUUUGCAGAGGGUGCUUCGGCGUCGGCCCCGGGUCAAGUCCCCUGGAACGGGGCGUCCUAGAGGGUGAGAACCCCGUACUCACCCGGGUGCCCUUCGCCGCGUGAAGCCCCUUCGACGAGUCGAGUUGUUUGGGAAUGCAGCUCUAAGCGGGAGGUAAAUUUCUUCUAAAGCUAAAUACCGGCCAGAGACCGAUAGCGCACAAGUAGAGUGAUCGAAAGAUGAAAAGCACUUUGGAAAGAGAGUUAAAAAGCACGUGAAAUUGUUGAAAGGGAAGCUCUUGCCGCCAGACUUGCCGCGGUUGCUCAGCCGCCCCCCGGGGUGGUGUACUCUUCCGUCGGCAGGCCAGCGUCGGUUCGGGCGGCCGGAUAAAGGCCCUGGGAAUGUAGCACCCCCCGGGGUGUGUUAUAGCCCAGGGCGUAAUGCGGUCAGCCCGGUCCGAGGCACGCGUUCGCGAGGACGCUGGCGUAAUGGCUGCAAGCGACCCGUCUUGAAACACGGACCAAGGAGUCUAACAUCUGUGCGAGUGUUUGGGCGUCAAACCCAUGCGCGUAAUGAAAGUGAACGGAGGUGGGAACCCCCUCGAGGGGCGCACCAUCGACCGAUCCUGAUGUCCUCGGAUGGAUUUGAGUAAGAGCAUAGCUGUUGGGACCCGAAAGAUGGUGAACUAUUCCCGGAUAGGGUGAAGCCAGAGGAAACUCUGGUGGAGGCUCGCAGCGGUUCUGACGUGCAAAUCGAUCGUCAAAUCUAGGAAUAGGGGCGAAAGACUAAUCGAACCAU